RNAcentral lists this ribosomal RNA (492 nucleotides) under uncultured bacterium. RNAcentral describes it as "partial 16S ribosomal RNA". It matches the Rfam family "Bacterial small subunit ribosomal RNA", at positions 29 to 507 of the family's 1533-position model. The record is from RNAcentral.
AGUGAACGCUGGCGGUAGGCCUAACACAUGCAAGUCGAACGGAAGCACAGUAAGAGCUUGCUCUUACGGGUGGCGAGUGGCGGAUGGGUGAGGAAUACAUAGGCAUCUACUUUUUCGUGGGGGAUAACGUAGGGAAACUUACGCUACUACCGCAUACGAUCUACGGGUGAAAGCAGGGGAUCUUCGCACUUUGCGCGAUUGAAUGAGCCGAUGUCGGAUUAGCUAGUUGGCGGGGUAAAGGCCCACCAAGGCGACGAUCCGUAGCUGGUCUGAGAGGAUGAUCAGCCACACUGGAACUGAGACACGGUCCAGACUCCUACGGGAGGCAGCAGUGGGGAAUAUUGGACAAUGGGCGCAAGCCUGAUCCAGCCAUACCGCGUGAGUGAAGAAGGCCUUCGGGUUGUAAAGCCCUUUUGUUAGGAAAGAAAAGCAGCAGAUUAAUACCCCGCUAUUCUGACGGUACCCAAAGAAUAAGCACCGGCUAACUUCGUG